Molecule: ribosomal RNA, 499 nt
Filed under: uncultured bacterium
Lineage: Bacteria
Description: bacterial SSU rRNA
Rfam family: Bacterial small subunit ribosomal RNA
Source: RNAcentral
GAUCCUGGCUCAGAUUGAACGCUGGCGGCAUGCCUUACACAUGCAAGUCGAACGGCAGCACGGGAGCUUGCUCCUGGUGGCGAGUGGCGAACGGGUGAGUAAUACAUCGGAACGUACCCUGAAGUGGGGGAUAACGUAGCGAAAGUUACGCUAAUACCGCAUAUUCUGUGAGCAGGAAAGAGGGGGAUCGCAAGACCUCUUGCUUUAGGAGCGGCCGAUGUCGGAUUAGCUAGUUGGUGAGGUAAAGGCUCACCAAGGCGACGAUCCGUAGCGGGUCUGAGAGGAUGAUCCGCCACACUGGGACUGAGACACGGCCCAGACUCCUACGGGAGGCAGCAGUGGGGAAUUUUGGACAAUGGGCGCAAGCCUGAUCCAGCCAUGCCGCGUGAGUGAAGAAGGCCUUCGGGUUGUAAAGCUCUUUCGGUGGGGAAGAAAUGGCACGGGUUAAUACCCUGUGUUGAUGACGGUACCCGCAUAAGAAGCACCGGCUAACUACGUG